This 65-nucleotide transfer RNA is filed under the name Parastratiosphecomyia szechuanensis. RNAcentral's name for it is "tRNA-Asp". The record is from RNAcentral. Lineage: Eukaryota; Metazoa; Arthropoda; Insecta; Diptera; Stratiomyidae.
AAAAAAUUAGUUAAAUCAUAACAUUAGUUUGUCAGGCUAAAAUUAUUAAUUAUUAAUAUUUUUUA